Molecule: long non-coding RNA, 2036 nt
Organism: Cebus imitator (Panamanian white-faced capuchin)
Lineage: Eukaryota; Metazoa; Chordata; Mammalia; Primates; Cebidae
Exons: 2
Source: RefSeq, a predicted model, not a curated record
GGCCGCUGUGCGCCGGGCGGGGCCCGCGACGGGGUGGGAUCAGGGGCCUGGGGACACCGCCUCAAGGCCGGGGCAGCGACGAACUCCGAGCGGGACACUGAACGGCUCGUACGCGCAAGAUAAGCACGGACCGAACCAGGUACACGCACCUGUCGGGGACUCACUGACUGAGGUGCGGACGGCACUUUACCAGGACAGGUAAAGACGCGAACCCUCGGACCUAAGAACUUGACAGGUACACCCUGCCUGAUAAAGCUACGCCAGGUGCGCUAUCGAGUGAGUCGGGUACACAGAGGUUGGUCCACGCACCUUGGAGGCAGAGCCAUAGUUAUAAAGACAGGUACAUCCAGACAGGCACUUUUCAAGUGGAGUCAGGGCCCCUCAAGACACACUGUGCUCGAAGCUGUCACACAGAGGUGGGCCACCCACAGGGCCAGGUACACCUUUCAUGAAAUCUCUACCUUACCAGGACCGAAAGGCAGAUUCAGCCAGCAGAUGCACAAUGGCCAAGGCAGAAAACCAGGCAAAAGAGGGCCAUUUAUCCCAUUUACCCGAAUCACCACGUGAGUGUCCACACAGGAAUACUGUCACCAACACCGCAGAACUCACUGAUUACCCCCGCUGGAGGAGCACCCCUGCUCCAUGAAGAUGCUUUUAGUUUCCCAGGUCAGGCCUGAUCCCUCGCAUGAGCACUUUACAGUAUCUACUCAUGAGCUUACAGACAGGUCAUUUUGUUGAUGUUACCCUUGAGAAAUUCUGCAAGGCUAAACUGCCCCAGCUGGAAAGACUUGAACCAGGAUGCAGAACUCCUAUUCUAGUGCUCCUAUUAUUUGCCAUUUUGUGAACCACGGCCUCCUCUUGUUAGUGAAGCCACACUCAAUCUAUUGAAUCCAUCAAGCGCUGACAUUCCACCUUGUUGCCGUCCUGCCUCUGAAAGAGAAUGGACCGGCUAUUAAACCAGUUUUUUUUAGCAAAUUCGGAGCAGCAGGUUCUUGGCUGGGGGGAAAACAUUCCACUUAUCAAGAGAUAUUAUUCCUACAAAGCAUGAGAACCUACUUCUUCAUAAAGAGAAUUUGGAGGGAGCUUUUGUUCUGCAGAGACAACAUCUGGAUUUGAAUACAUCCAUGCUCAAAAGGAGAUUUCUCAUAAUGGACCCAACUGAAAGCACUCAGAGUACAAGGACCCGUAAGCUUUCAAAAGAAGGCACUUCAGGAGACUCGCCAGGGGCGCUCCUAUCCCCGGCAGCGCGAGUUUUGGAGGUCAGUGGAGGGCUCUCGCGCCGUGUGUGUAACUUUCAUACUCAAAGACUUAUCUUCAUCCUCCACCCCCACCUGCUGCAGAAACUUGGCGCUUGAAUUCAUUUAAAAACAUUUGUGGUUUCAGAAGCCUCCUUUUUAUUAUAAAGCUGCCAAGGAGAUCUUAGAAUGAAAACCAUUUUUAGAGAUGAGAAAGAAGGAAGCCGGGCCAAGGCCAGCCCGGCUCUCAGCCGAGGGCCUGUAAAGGUGACACGUGGGACAUGGCCACCUGCAGAUCCUGGAGGCGGCUGGGUGGAGGCGCCUGGGCGGAGGCGCCCAGAGGGACCUGGGUUUGAAUCCCUGUUCUGCCAGUCCUGUCCAUGGCUGAUCUUGGGGAAGUUGUGUAAUCUCUGGGCCCUGCGACGCCCUUUCCUGGAGCUGGAACGAAGCCCCUUGGAACCCUGACAUCAGAGGUGACGCUAGUCUUCGCAGGCAAUGACUUGGCGGAAUGUGAUGCCACUCCCUAACCCACGUCCGGGCUGGCAGGGGGGUGUGUCACCUCCCACCAGGUGGUCCGGCUGCUUUGAUGGACCUUCACUCACUCCUGACAACCUCGUUCUCAGCUAGCACGUCAACAGACUGGCCUUUGGCGCCCCCUGCUGGUGACUUCAGGGAGAAGGGUGACUUCCUGAGCCGAAGGAAGUCCUUCCUGGGGUCUAACCUCUACCUCUGGCUUGAUGAGGCAACUGAGGUGGCUUGCUUUCUCCUCCACCCUAGAAAAUAAACUCAUAUAGAGUCCAA